CACCGCGGUUAUACGAGAGGCUCAAGUUGAUUCUACCCGGCGUAAAAGGUGGCUAGGGUAAUUUUAUAUAGGGCCGAACCCCCUCUAGGCUGUUAUACGCAUCCGAAGGAAUGAAGCACCAACACGAAAGUAGCCCUACCUCCCCCGAACCCACGAAAGCCAUAAAA
Molecule: ribosomal RNA, 167 nt
Filed under: Percopsis omiscomaycus
Lineage: Eukaryota; Metazoa; Chordata; Actinopteri; Percopsiformes; Percopsidae
Description: partial 12S rRNA
Source: RNAcentral